CCUACGGGUGGCAGCAGUGGGGGAGAUUGCACAAUGGGGGAAACCCUGAUGCAGCGACGCCGCGUGGGCGAAGAAGGAGUUCGGGAGGGAAAGCCCUAUCAGCAGGGAAGAAGAAAGGACGGUACCGGAGGAAGAAGCACCGGCUAAAUACGUGCCAGCAGCCGCGGUAAUACGGAUGGGGCAAGCGUUAUCCGGAUUUACUGGGUGUAAAGGGAGCGCAGGCGGCACGGCAAGCCUGAUGUGCAAGCCCGCGGCCCAACCGCGGGACUGCAUUGGGAACUCCCGGGCUGGAGUGCCGGAGCGGUAGGCGGAAUUCCUAGUGUCGCGGUGACCUGCGUAGAUCUUCGGAG
RNAcentral lists this ribosomal RNA (350 nucleotides) under uncultured bacterium. RNAcentral describes it as "partial 16S ribosomal RNA". It matches the Rfam family "Bacterial small subunit ribosomal RNA", at positions 338 to 703 of the family's 1533-position model. The record is from RNAcentral.